GAUGAACGCUGGCGGCGUGCCUAAUACAUGCAAGUCGAGCGAACAGACGAGGAGCUUGCUCCUCUGACGUUAGCGGCGGACGGGUGAGUAACACGUGGAUAACCUACCUAUAAGACUGGGAUAACUUCGGGAAACCGGAGCUAAUACCGGAUAAUAUAUUGAACCGCAUGGUUCAAUAGUGAAAGACGGUUUUGCUGUCACUUAUAGAUGGAUCCGCGCCGCAUUAGCUAGUUGGUAAGGUAACGGCUUACCAAGGCAACGAUGCUUAGCCGACCUGAGAGGGUGAUCGGCCACACCGGAACUGAGACACGGUCCAGACUCCUACGGGAGGCGGCAGUAGGGAAUCUUCCGCAAUGGGCGAAAGCUUGACGGAGCAACGCCGCGUGAGUGAUGAAGGUCUUCGGAUCGUAAAACUCUGUUAUUAGGGAAGAACAAAUGUGUAAGUAACUAUGCACGUCUUGACGGUACCUAAUCAGAAAGCCACGGCUAACUACGUG
This 497-nucleotide ribosomal RNA is filed under the name uncultured bacterium. Its description in RNAcentral is "partial 16S ribosomal RNA". It matches the Rfam family "Bacterial small subunit ribosomal RNA", at positions 28 to 507 of the family's 1533-position model. The record is from RNAcentral.